UACGUAGGGUGCAAGCGUUGUCCGGAAUUAUUGGGCGUAAAGAGCUCGUAGGCGGUUUGUCGCGUCUGCUGUGAAAGUUCGGGGCUCAACCACGGUACUGCAGUGGGUACGGGCAGAAUAGAGUGCGGUAGAGGAGACUGGAAUUCCUGGUGUAGCUGUGGAAUGCGCAGAUAUCAGGAGGAACACCAGUGGCGAAGGCGGGUCUCUGGGCCGAAACUGACGCUGAGGAGCGGAAGCGUGGGGAGCGUACAGG
RNAcentral lists this ribosomal RNA (253 nucleotides) under uncultured bacterium. RNAcentral describes it as "partial 16S ribosomal RNA". It matches the Rfam family "Bacterial small subunit ribosomal RNA", at positions 524 to 776 of the family's 1533-position model. The record is from RNAcentral.